Long non-coding RNA from Megalopta genalis, 1245 nucleotides. RefSeq lists it as uncharacterized. The record is from RefSeq and is a predicted model, not a curated record. NCBI's taxonomy places the organism in Eukaryota, Metazoa, Arthropoda, Insecta, Hymenoptera, Halictidae.
GUCGGCGAAUUGGCAACCGAUCUCCGCGCCACAUCUUGAAACGUGAUCGGCGAAUAAAUUCUCCUCUCUUCGGGAAGAUACGACGAAUCCACGGCUAUCGGCGACGCUAUCUUCGAACCUCGCCUAGACGAAGUCUCCAAACAAUUCUGAGGACUAAACAUAGUCGCAGAAACGAAGCUCGCGGACGUUCCCGCCGACAGUCUUUUCUCGAUGGUUCUUGCGUGCCAUUGCGGUGGUUCUUGGAUCGUGAUACCUUUCGUCGUGGACGAUCUGUGCUCUCUUUUCUCCAACCACUCGCGAUGUCUCGGCGGCGAUAUCAUGAAGAUUCUUUGCCAUAACCGACGAAAAUAACUCAAGAUCAAGGAGCUCCCGAGGAACAAUCUUUUCGGAGCGUGAUGUUCGGACCGCCGACAAUUUCGACCACUUUCGGAUGCUCCUCGCGUUUUUUGAUUAUGAUGUACACUGACCCCGAACCCCGAAAGGACGGGGUCUGGCCGACGUUUUUGCUUGAAUUGAAAUCAACCAUGCACAUAAAUAUCGACACACAAGCGGGGGCAGUCGCAGUAUUUUAAUACAGAUUUACGGAGCACUUAUGUUUCCACUUUCGUAACGAAGCGACCUUAACUUUUGUUCUCCUUUUGAUCGGCAUAUACGAUGAAAUAAUAGUAUCUACGAUUUAAAAAAAAAACGCUAAUAUAACGUAAUCAUAGUAAUAUAACGAUGUUUGAAAAAACGAUCGAAGUUCUACCAAUGAGAUAAACAUUUAGCGAACAAUAGAUACGAGCAUAAUGCCAAUUGUUUAAUUUAUUCGUAACAAAAUAAAGAUCUCAAUUCCAAUCGAAUCCAAUUCCAAUUAAUGUCAUCGUUCUAAGCUUAUCGGGUCAAUUAUUUCGUUGAUACUCCGUUUAACGAGACCAGCUCUAAUAUCGAGAUACACCGGGAGUAUCCCAGACACGAGACGAAGAAGAGAACGAUCGACGCUCGCGUUUCGUUGUCGGUGCGCGGGAAAGUAUUAGAGCAAUAUCACGGCGCGGCGUCACGCGAAUUCUUUAAUUACUAUCAUCUAUACUUCUCCACUCGGUGACUCUCUUUCCCCGGAAAAUUUUGAACGACGGCGCAUUCAGGUGCACACAUAUCACGCGACCGCAUCUGCGACUUCUAUUUAUAAGAUCGACUAGGCAGACGACCGUGGAGUCACUAGAAAAAUAUCCUGAAAUAAACACCCUCCCAAUUAAUGAUAUGGCU